AUUGAACGCUGGCGGCAGGCCUAACACAUGCAAGUCGAACGAGUGGCGGACGGGUGAGUAAUGUCUGGGACACUGCCUGAUGGAGGGGGAUAACUACUGGAAACGGUAGCUAAUACCGCAUACCCUCAGAUGUGCCCAGAUGGGAUUAGCUUGUUGGUGGGGUAACGGCUCACCAAGGCGACGCUCCCUAGCUGGUCUGAGAGGAUGACCAGCCACAAUGGAACUGAGACACGGUCCAGACUCCUACGGGAGGCAGCAGUGGGGAAUAUUGCACAAUGGGCGAAAGCCUGAUGCAGCAAUGCCGCGUGUAUGAAGAAGGCCUUCGGGUUGUAAAGUACUUUCGGCGGGGAAGCGGUAGCCGAAGAAGAAGCACCGGCUAACUCCGUGCCAGCAGCCGCGGUAAUAC
RNAcentral lists this ribosomal RNA (406 nucleotides) under uncultured bacterium. RNAcentral describes it as "partial 16S ribosomal RNA". It matches the Rfam family "Bacterial small subunit ribosomal RNA", at positions 30 to 526 of the family's 1533-position model. The record is from RNAcentral.